Long non-coding RNA from Phascolarctos cinereus (koala), 503 nucleotides. RefSeq lists it as uncharacterized. The record is from RefSeq and is a predicted model, not a curated record. Lineage: Eukaryota; Metazoa; Chordata; Mammalia; Diprotodontia; Phascolarctidae.
AGUCAUGCUGGAACGAUUUUGGUCAUUAAUCUUUAAAUUUCUAGCUCUUACUUUGCUUCUAGAUGCAUUUUCAUUUCUCUCCUAAUUUUUAUAUAAUUAAGAUCACCUAGCAUACUUAUGCUGAUUAUCAAUAUGUAUUUUGGGAUACUCGACAAACUUUCUGAGCUGCCUGUCUAUGCCUCCGCCUUUGGGACAUGAAAUUUUCCAUCAGGAGCGCUUUGGCGUUAUCCCAUAAAUUGUGGACAGCACAAUGGGAGCUAUGUAAGAGGACGUCUUCUUAGCCCUCCCUGCGAUCUCCACCCACAGCCCAUUGUUAGAGAAUUUUACUCUCUAACUGGGGACUUCAGCACAAGCUACACAUUUAAUAAUUAAUCUUCUCAGGGCAGAAUCACCAUGUAUUUGGGCCCUAUUAUAUAAACCUAUCUCAUAAAUGGUAGUCAAGGUUAUACUUUCCUUUUCUUUUUUCUCUAAGAUCAUCAAAACAUAAUAAAACUACCGAGUCC